UGACGAUCAGUAUACUGAACUUCAGCCUGGAUUGAACUCUGUUUUUGUGACCUGUGAAUCGUUUCUUGGUACUCUGCAUUCUGAUCUCAUGUUCCAGUGCCUGUGUAUGACAGACUGGACCACCAAACUGUAUCAGGUUUGGUCAAGUGUAAAGAAAAUGCCAGCAGAAAAGUCACAGUGCUGCAGUUAUGUACAGUACCAUGCAGAAAUACACCUGGACUACUUCUGUCUUUCUUUUAUAAAUUCAUUUCAGGGUUUUUGUGCCCUUAUUUUGGAAGGACGGGACAAUAGUUGGCAGGAAUUGCUAAAGAGGGAGCCCCCUCAGCAGCUCUGUCAAAAACAAACCCGCCUGGAGGCUGAAAAGUCUGUUUUUCUGCUCGUAAUUUUCCUCCUUUCUGCACUUUUUUGAUUCGGUGUGUCUUGGACAGUUCCUCCUCUAAGUGUUCUUUUGGAAAUGAAGGACAGUCAUGGCUUUUUUCUCUUUCCACAGACAAAGACACAGUGGGAGGUUUUAAUGUUUUCUGGACAACAGCCGCAUCAAAGUUUAUUCUUGCCACUUCUCUGAUGACUGCUAUGUAAACAUAGGCCUGUGAAAGCUGGAUUUGCACCUCAGCCCCUAUUGAAACCUGGAACCAUUACAUCUAUAAAGACUUUCCAUGAAAUCUCUGGCUGUAAGUAACAUAACAGCAGGCAAUGUAACAACAGUUAAUGUACACUAAUGUGGCUAAACAUGCUGCCACGGGGGUGCUGAUCACCAACCUCAGACAUUUUCUGUGAAGUCAUAACUUAAUGGGUCAUUUUGUGAAUACAAAGCUGUGUGAAAAGUUACACCCUCAACCCGUGUCCAAUCUUAUAUGAGUGGAAAUGCAGGACAAACAAAGUGUCAACAGUAUGACAUAAAUAAGGGGGUUUGAGCUACAAAUCAUGCAAAACUGCUCUGCAUUACAUCCAGUGUCUGUCAGCCUUCUCCUCUUGUUUUCACGGUUUAGAUAUGAUUUAAUGUGCGUCUUCUGAAAAUGACUUCCCUCCUCAACAACAUUCACAGUGUAAACAAUCAUCAGGGUAAUCAUAGAAAUUUUCACUCAAUGAAUGAAAUAUUGCGUCAAUAAGAGGCUUCUCAAAGAUUUGGGGUUUGAUUGUCCACAUGUCUUUGCUGCUGAGCUAAUUUGAGAAGGCGUAUGAGUUUAUUCUCUAACAGCUGAGCAAAAGAGAAUCAUUUACUAGAGAAAUUGCCCGUAACAAAAUUAAAUGCCUUUUAUGCCUUAUAUUAUUCUUUAAUUGUAAUUCUACCUCUUGAACAUUUUUCUUAAGAGAGCCGUCAGACAACUGUGCUGUCGAUUCAUACAAAUCUUAGCCUGGAGCUGCUCCCUGCUGACAAGCUGUUUUGAUCACAUUAUGAUCAUCUCUUUUACAUUACUACAUGCUCAAGGGAAAGGAGCCUCCCUGCUGUAACACCAGCUCUCCUACUGCUGUCAUGCCGUGGUAAAUUUUAGUGUCAUGUUGUUUUGGACAUGGAAAUUAACCAGAUUUUGGAUGGUGUUUGAUAAUCUCAUGAAAACUUGAUUCUGCCAGCAAAAGAGCUUAGAUAGAAAAGACCUGCAGCAGGCUCAAACUCAAACAAAAACACACUAUAAAUACACUAUAUCUUUUUUAGUAUUAAACUCUGAGUGAGCCACAUUCAGUCAUAGUGAUUUAUAAAUGUCUCCUGCAAAAGCUGUCUCAGAAGGGUAAUAAAAAACUGUUUUAUAAAGCACCUUCAAAACCGAGUUCACAAUGUGCUCUGACAGACAAAACCAAACUGCCUGACAAAAAAGGAAAUAUAACAAAAGAAACCCAAAAGGUCAGGCAAGGAGACAAAUACAGAACACAGGAGAUGCCACUGAUAAGGAAUAAUACAAGACAAAUGUAUUUUGUAAGAGGAGAAAAAAAGAGAGAAAAUCCAAUUUAAAAAAAGUGUAGAAAAUGGAUUUUUUUGGGGGCGCUACUUUUAAAAGUUCUUGAUCUGGGAGUGCAGAGGCCAACACAGGCCAAACUGAUCCAUCAGUGGGACCAAGAUCGCUCUGUUGUGGAGGUUAAGACAGCAAUUAGCAGUCUAUAACAUGGUGUAUAAUUUUUAAAUGAUGUGACAAGGCUAGUGGUGCCUUUUGUCCUCCUCACAGGUUAACCUGCCUGCACGUGUUAGGUCCUGCUCCAACUGAAUGUCAUCUGUGCUUGUUUACAUCUCAGCACCAGAGCUUUACAGCAUUCUGUAAGUAGCUAUUAACCCGAGCCACAGGCCCGAAUCGUGGGGGUGGAUGCUCUACAGCUUAGACACAAUGUAUGACAGUAGGUAUAGAAAUAUUAAAAGAUGGCAAUAGAAUAACCUAAGCCCACAAACUGUCCACUUGAUCCGAUACCCUCACAUCUCCUGUAGGCGAUUGAGCCCACAGUCAGCCCUGCUGUAACACACAUCACUAACUCCUCUCUGUCAAUGUUUUUUUUUUUUUUUUGCAUUGUUUUGCAUUCAGGCAAGCAAGUGUCAGACCAUUGCUCAAAAAAUCCACUUUCAACCCAGCCUUUGUUGCAAAUUAGAGGCCGGUCUCCCUCCUUCCAUUCCUAUCAAAAAUACUUGGGCACACAAUUCAGCUGGCUCCCAGUCUACCUACAGAACUAUGAUCUACUUGAUCUGAAUCAAACUGGCUUUUGGCGGGGCCUCUCUACUGAAACUGCUCUUUUGUUUGUAAGGGAAUCGCUGCACUUGGCUAAAGCAGUUGGUCAGUCCACAGUUCUUUGGCUGCUGGAUCUUUCUGCUGCCUUUGACACAGUGAGCUACCAAAUCCUCCUCUCUACACUCUCCUCACUUGGUAUCUCAGGGUCUGUCCUCCAGUGAGGAGAGUGUAGAGAAGAGGGAAAUCUUUUAGAGUGUUAUGGAGGGGAGAGGUGUUCCAUAUGCAUGGUUUAUCAACAGGGGUGCAUCAAGGGUCAGAUCUUGGUCUCCUCUUUUUCCAAAUAUACACCACAUCACUUGGUGGAAUCAUGCGCUCCCGUGGCUUUUCCUAUCACUAAUAUGCAGAUGAUACACAGCUCUUCUUGUCUUUGUUCACAUGACGACACAACUGUCUUAGCUCAGAUCUCAUCCUCCCUUGCUGAUAUCUCUAAAUGGAUGAGGUAAAACUGAACUAAUCAUUCCAGCCAGUCCCACUGUGGACCCACAGCUCAAUAUCCAGUUUGAAUCUCAUAACCUCAGUCCUACCAAAUCUGCCUGAAAUCUAGGUGUCAUGGUUGAUGACCAGCUAACCUUCAGGGUUCAUGUUGCCUCAAUUGCCUGGUCCUGCAGAUUUGCCCUCUAGUACAUCAGGAUGAUCAGAACCUACCUGACAAAGCAUGUAACACAGCUCCUGGUACAGGCUCUUGUAAUUUCAUGCAUUGACUACAGUAUCUCCUUACUGGCAGACCUCCCUGCUUGCACAGUUAAACCUCUGUAAAUAAUCUAGAAUGCAGCAGCACAUCUGGUCUUCAACCAGCCAAAGACAGCUCAUGUCACUCCUCUGUUCAUCUCUCUUCACUGGCUUCCAGUUGUUACUCACAUCAAAAAAAAACCUCCAAUUGUUGCUUACAAAGCAGUAAUUAAAACUGCUCUGGUUUACCUGGAACCCCACAUCCAGGUCUACACCCCUUCCCGCCCACUAGGUUUAGCCACAGCAAGGUGCCUGGCACCUCCAGCUCAAUUUAUAUCUUCAGAUUGUUUUUUCAUAGUUAUCCAUGACUGAACUUGACAACAGUCUCUUCCUCUGCUUUUUACAUCUGUAAAACUGAUGACAUACAGGGGAUACUUGAACUUAUGAAUGCCUCGUCCAUUAAUUUUUUUUAAACCAAUGAAAUCUUAAUUAAACCCAAUUACCCACCAUUUGAGGUGUUGCAGAAUAUUCCUGACAUAAAACUGACUAGAUUGCCAACAUUAUUCCCUGUAGUGAGGGCAAUUAAGAAAACAAGGUUACAGCAGAGUGUGUGUGUAUGUAUGAAUAUAUUACCGUGGCACUUUAACCCCAUCUGGCAUUAAUUUGAGUGCUGAUUGAAGACUAAUGAAUCAGAUUUACAGGCUGCUAUUACAUUUCCAACAGCUUUUUGGAGCAUUAGUCUAUCAUGUUCAAUCAUCUUUGUUACAAGUCUACGAUUUUCUCAAGGGGACUGAACUUUGUAGAGGGAAACAGAUACCCUAACAUGCACCAAUUAACCAUAAACCCCAAUGAAAUGAAAAUGAAAUGAAAUGAAACCCCAAUGUACGAUCGGGUGGUAAUUAGUCUUUUGGCUGUCAAGUAUUUUGAGUCACAGCAUUUGAAUAACAGUUAAUUAUUUUCAUUAAAGGUAGCCAUGUAAUAGUAAUUUAAACUGAUUUUACAAUCCUUUUCCGUUACCUAAUGAAACGAUUUUUUGUUACGCUUUCUCUUGAUUUUUUUUUCUGUCUUCAUUUGAGUUGCUCCAAUUCUCGAUUUUCAACUAUGCUUUUAUUUUGAAGGGCACCACACUUCUGUUCUACGUUGCAGUCUGCUGGGGAGGAAGCAUCAAACACAAAGAUGCAACAAAGUGGUGAAAAAGGCUGGCUCUGUGGUUGGACUCAAGCUGGACUCAGUGGAGGAUGUGGUGGAGAGAUCUACACUGAGGAAGGUGGAGUCUAUUCUAAAGAACAUGGAUCACCCACUUCACAACACCUUGAUGGACCAAAGGGCCAAUGGUGGUGGACGGCUCUUCUCUCUUUGCUGCAGGACAGAAAGAUUCAGGAGAUCUUUUGUACCAACAGCCAUUAGACUUUAAAAUUUUUGUGUAAAUAGUAGAUGACUUUUGGAGAAAUAAUAUGUGAGACAACAGACGAUUGAAUUUUCCUUUAGGGAUGAAUAAAGGUCUUCUUAUUCUUAUUCUUUUGGUAAAUGGUGAGUUAGGUAACAGUAGAGAAAGAUCAUUGAAUGUCAGUUUUUGAAAUGUCUAAACAUCUCUCAUCGGGCUGCUACAGCUAGCUCCCUGGCAGCUGCUGCUUCUUCUUCAUCUGUCUCUUUUUUUGCGUAUGGUAAAAGACCAUUACUAUGAUCUCACUUUAUCACUGUAUGCUCAUCUUAGCACAAUAGCAAUAUUAAAUUAUUUAAAAAAAGGCAGUGAUCAUAAAUCGCCACAGCUCUCUUAGUCUUAAGCUCAAAGUGACAUAUCUCUGAGGGUAGGAACAACACAAGUAAAGGUCUGCACAGGAUAAAACAACAUAAAUAAACACUACAAACUGCUUGAAGUCCUGUUAGACAAAGAAGCUAACAUGCAGCACAGGAGGCAAAACAGGGGGUGUUUAGAGGCAUUUUUAAUAAAGAAUAUUAAUGUCAUUAUUCACCACAAAAACUUUGUUGACAGACCAUAACAAAGAUGGCACUUUUAGGCACUCUCAUUUAACAACAAGCUCCAUAUCUCUAAAAUCUACACCAAAAUGAAUCUUCUUUUUGAGGAACUGGAUCCAGGAAGUUCCUGAAAACAAAAAAGGCUUCUCUGCAGGAUUGAAAAGUCCCUUGAUAUUGCAGAAAACUUCCUUCAUGUUCCCUUUAAACAGUGAGCUCAGUAAUAUCAAAGUCCUCCUCUUUUAUGAACCACACUAACGUCCAAAACAAUUUAGUGGCUACACUCUCCAGUUUUUCCCAAGUCCCAUAUUGUGCUUGGUGCACAGUUUCCACCUUCUGAUUAAUAAAUUAUGAGUAAUAUGAGACCAUCCACGUAGUUCUGAUGACUGGCACUGCAGAUGUGUGAAAUUGCAUUUUUUUGAUGAUCAUAACAAGUCUAUAUGAGAGCGGAUGUGUAAUGCAGACGACCUCCCGCUGUUUUAGAACUCAUUUUAUUAAGAGACGAGGUGUGACUGUGAAACAAAUGGUACCUACAGGACUGCCUCAUGUUCUUCUGGCAUCAAAAGUCUGAGCCAAACCAUUAAACAUUAAAGUGUAAAGUUCUGAUGAGAAAGUCAUGAAUAAAG
Non-coding RNA from Xyrichtys novacula (pearly razorfish), 5977 nucleotides. The record is from the annotation of a GenBank genome assembly. Lineage: Eukaryota; Metazoa; Chordata; Actinopteri; Labriformes; Labridae.